This is a long non-coding RNA of Alligator sinensis (Chinese alligator), 2934 nucleotides long. RefSeq lists it as uncharacterized. NCBI's taxonomy places the organism in Eukaryota, Metazoa, Chordata, Crocodylia, Alligatoridae. The record is from RefSeq and is a predicted model, not a curated record. The transcript has 3 exons.
CGCCCGGUGUCAGGAACAUGCAGUGCAUUUCCCAUACUUGUCUCUUGAACAUGAGCUAUCAAGUGGCCUGGCUGUGCAUCUUUCUUGUGGUUUCCUGAUGUGCCUUGGGGGUGCGGGCAGAGUUGUGUGCUGUGCCUUGACAGCCAGAGUCCCAGCACCCUCCCAUAGGUUGGGUCUCAGCACUGUCGGAGUCUUCCUCAGCAUCUGGGAACAUGGUUUUGCUGCAGACACGCUCCUCCGGCUCUUGUGUCCGGGAGUCACUAGCAGGCAGCUUUACGACAGCCUUUCACGGCUCCUGCGGGGAGGGAAUCGUCAGUACGGGAUUCAAAACAGAUGACGCCUCUCUGGGCCCCAGGAGGACAGCUCGGGAAAACACAAGCACCUAGAACCGAAACACAAAUACCAGAACUCGUGCACAGCCUUGAUUAGCAGAAUAUGCAGCCGUUCACCUCCAUGUCGCUGGGUCAAACCAGCUUGGCAGAGCUGGAGAGCGGCUACCAGGAGAUGGCUGUUUGAUGGCCCCUGGGCAGUGAGCUUGGUGGGUCUCAGCUCAGACCUCAGAAAACAAAGAGCGCCAUGAACAGCAUUAACUGGUGGCUUCCUUGGAGUUUUGACCAAGGAUAAUGAACUGUCCUGGUCUUGCUGGAAGCAGUCCCUUCAUGCAAUGGGUGAGAGUCCACCAAGCAGAUAGCUGCCUGUAAGGGUCCUGUCCCAGCAAUGAGACCGCCAGGUUCAGGACUGUUGAUCUGGCAUGUGCCAUCAGAUCUAAAUUCAUAUGGCAUCCUGCUUUAUGCUCCAUGUUUCUUCCUGGGUGGACCAACCUGCUGUCCCUAUGGUGAGGAGCUCAUUCAUUACCAACUACUGAGCUGACUGGUAGUUUCCCUUCACCCCAACCUCCUCCUCACUGGAUUUUCUUUUCUGUUUGGUGGGUGAAGCAAACUCCACUGAGUUAUCACGGGGCAGUUAAGUGGGUCAGCAGCCUGUUUUGCUUGCGGCAGUCAUGAAAAUGGACACAGAUGAACGUAGGAACUUGGCAAGAAAACUCCAAUUAAGACAUUGAUGUGCAGGCACGCAUGGUCUGAGCAGAAAUAGGCACAGAACGAGAUCGGUGACGGCUUUCAUGUGGCAAGGGCCCAAUCGUGAACUUAGGAAACUUGACAGCAUCCUCGAUAGGGUACUGCUGUUCUCACCGCACAUCCUCGCACCGCGCUCCUAUGAGGCCAGGAAAGAUGAGUCCACUUUUCAUGUUUGUGGAAACCGAGGCAGAGAGGAACUAAGUGACUUUCCUAUGGUCACAGAGAGAGUCUGUUGCAGAGCUGGGAAGAGCGAGCUGCACGCGUGCGCCCAAGUCUCACCUCUGUGAAGACCCACAUUCAUUUUCUCUUCAUUAAGGACUGUCAAACUCUUUCCGCUGUACUGUUCCUGCAGGAGAUUUCUGCCUUACUUUCAUAAAGACAAGGCAGUGGGGAAUGGCCAGUCUUAUAAACCAUCAGUUAAGCCUUGCUAACUGUAGCCACCCCUGAGGACUGCAACCUUCGUUGCCUCUUCUCCGAACACAGCCUUAUACGACAUUCCUGGCUCUUUCACAAGGCCAGCCCGUCACAAGCAGAACCGGAGAUGCCUCCUCUAAGUGUUAUGGGAUAUCUUCUGCUGCACGUGCAUCGAACCACAUUUCCACUCGGCGAUGGAUUUGACCAUUUCUUAGCAGAAGAGAUUCCCAUUUGCUCGCGCAGUGACUGGUUUGAGGACCCUGGAGGCCUCCAUGGGGGACCAGAGAACUGGCUGGUGGACCCUCCAGGGACCAAGAGAACUGAACACAAUUAUGGAACAACAGGUCACAAAAUUAAACUAGUAGGUAGUAAGUUGAAAGCCAACCAAAGGAAGUUUGUUUUUCACCCAGCGUGCAAUGGAAGUGUGGAAUGCAUUGCCACCAGAUGUGGCAGAUGUUAGCCAGAUUAAAAAAGGGAUGGACAUAUUCAUGGAGGAAAAGGGGCAUCAGUAGCUAUUGUGCAUGGGAGUUAGGGAUACAGCCUCUGAAUCAGAAUUUCCUAGACCGUAAAUGCUGGAGGCUGCAAGUGGGAGAGGAACAGGGGGAAAAACUCUGAUCAUACUCAGUUCACUCCCCCUUUCAGCAUCCACGCUCUGCCACUGUGUGACACUGGAUGUUGGGUGAGAUGGACCCAUGGUCUGACCCAGUAAAUGACAGUUCUUAUGUUCUUGGACAAUCUACAACUCAGCUGGUUUUGUUAACACAAAUUUUACUAUAAGACUUUGGAGAAAAACUCUUUGAUAAGUAUUCAGCAGGCCGUCCCUUCCACUUACAACCAGAAUGCUCCUAAUUUACAUGUAUUAGUCAGGAAAGUGUUUCAGAAAAAAAGCAAAACUAAGACUUGAGUUUUUUUUAAUACUGGGUAUUUGCUUAGGGAAAAAAAGUGGUGGGAAAUUAUUUUUAAGCGACAAAUUAAUUGCACCUUUCAGUCUUCCUUCAUUCAGCACAGAAUUGCAGUAGUUGACCCUAAAAUGACGAUGUAGGAAUAAUGUAUUUACUCAAAUACAAGACACAUUUUCUCCCCCAAUCAGCAGUGGGUGGGGUAUGUCUUGGAUUUGAGCACUGGGCUGGGGCAGGCAGAGGCUCAGAGCUGAGCCAUUGCCUGCCCCAGGGUCAAGGUGGUUCUUGUGGAGGGGCAGGGGGGCAUGGGGGAGACUUGUGUGUGUUGCUUAGGGGGAGCAUGGGGGAGCUUGCUUUCUCCCCUGCUGCUUACCUUCAGCUCAGGCUCCAGCUCCGAACCAGCCAGGCUGGGGCCCAGAGCUGCUGCUGCUGUUUCUACCUGGCUGGGCGGGGUGAGGCUGGACUGGGACCACGGCCACUGACUGCCCCAGAGCCGGAGCAGAGCAGAGCAGCAGAAGGUAAGUGGCAGGGGGAGGGAGGGGUAG